GCAAUGGGCGCAAGCCUGACGGAGCAAGACCGCGUGGGGGAGGAAGGCUCUUGGGUUGUAAACCCCUUUUCUCAAGGAAGAACACAAUGACGGUACUUGAGGAAUAAGCCUCGGCUAACUCCGUGCCAGCAGCCGCGGUAAUACGGAGGAGGCAAGCGUUAUCCGGAAUGAUUGGGCGUAAAGCGUCCGUAGGUGGCAGUUCAAGUCUGCUGUCAAAGACAGUAGCUCAACUACUGAAAGGCAGUGGAAACUGAACAGCUAGAGUACGGUAGGGGCAGAGGGAAUUCCCGGUGUAGCGGUGAAAUGCGUAGAUAUCGGGAAGAACACCGGUGGCGAAAGCGCUCUGCUGGGCCGUAACUGACACUGAGGGACGAAAGCUAGGGGAGCGAAAGGGAUUAGAUACCCCUGU
Molecule: ribosomal RNA, 409 nt
Filed under: uncultured cyanobacterium
Lineage: Bacteria; Bacillati; Cyanobacteriota
Description: bacterial SSU rRNA
Rfam family: Bacterial small subunit ribosomal RNA
Source: RNAcentral